This is a non-coding RNA of Schistosoma rodhaini, 48 nucleotides long. The record is from Rfam. Lineage: Eukaryota; Metazoa; Platyhelminthes; Trematoda; Strigeidida; Schistosomatidae.
AUCCAGCUGACGAGUACCAAAUAGGACGAAACGCUCUUCAAGCUGGAU